This 549-nucleotide ribosomal RNA is filed under the name uncultured marine bacterium. RNAcentral's name for it is "bacterial SSU rRNA". It matches the Rfam family "Bacterial small subunit ribosomal RNA", at positions 355 to 896 of the family's 1533-position model. The record is from RNAcentral.
UGGGGAAUAUUGGACAAUGGGGACAACCCUGAUCCAGCAAUACCGCGUGUGUGAAGAAGGCCUGAGGGUUGUAAAGCGCUUUCAAUUGUGAAGAAAAGUUAGCGGUUAAUAACCGUUGACCUUGACGUUAACUUUAGAAGAAGCACCGGCUAACUCCGUGCCAGCAGCCGCGGUAAUACGGAGGGUGCAAGCGUUAAUCGGAAUUACUGGGCGUAAAGCGUACGUAGGCGGUUUAUUAAGUCAGAUGUGAAAGCCCCGGGCUUAACCUGGGAACUGCAUUUGAAACUGGUCAACUAGAGUAUGGUAGAGGAAAGUGGAAUUUCUGGUGUAGCGGUGAAAUGCGUAGAUAUCAGAAGGAACAUCAAUGGCGAAGGCAGCUUUCUGGACCAAUACUGACGCUGAGGUACGAAAGCGUGGGUAGCAAACAGGAUUAGAUACCCUGGUAGUCCACGCCGUAAACGAUGAUAACUAGCCGUUGGGGGGAUUUACCCCUUAGUGGCGAAGCUAACGCGUUAAGUUAUCCGCCUGGGGAGUACGGUCGCAAGGCUA